Schistocerca piceifrons (Central American locust) is the source of this 73-nucleotide non-coding RNA. The record is from the annotation of a RefSeq genome assembly. Lineage: Eukaryota; Metazoa; Arthropoda; Insecta; Orthoptera; Acrididae.
GCCCGGCUAGCUCGGUCGGUAGAGCAUGAGACUCUUAAUCUGAGGGUCGUGGGUUAGAGCCCCACGCUGGGCG